This 494-nucleotide ribosomal RNA is filed under the name uncultured bacterium. RNAcentral's name for it is "partial 16S ribosomal RNA". It matches the Rfam family "Bacterial small subunit ribosomal RNA", at positions 28 to 507 of the family's 1533-position model. The record is from RNAcentral.
GACGAACGCUGGCGGCGUGCUUAACACAUGCAAGUCGAACGGUGAAGCGCCUUCCUUUUUGGUGGGUGUGGAUGAGUGGCGAACGGGUGAGUAACACGUGAGUAACCUGCCCCCUUCUUCUGGAUAACCGCAUGAAAGUGUGGCUAAUACGGGAUAUUCUGGGUCUGUCGCAUGAUGGGUCUGGGAAAGAUAUUGUUUCGGUGGGGGAUGGGCUCGCGGCCUAUCAGCUGGUUGGUGGGGUGAUGGCCUACCAAGGCGGUGACGGGUAGCCGGCCUGAGAGGGUGGACGGUCACACUGGGACUGAGACACGGCCCCGACUCCUACGGGAGGCAGCAGUGGGGAAUAUUGCACAAUGGGCGCAAGCCUGAUGCAGCGACGCCGCGUGAGGGAUGGAGGCCUUCGGGUUGUGAACCUCUUUCGCCAGUGAAGCAGGCCUGCCUCGUUUGUGGGUGGGUUGACGGUAGCUGGAUAAGAAGCGCCGGCUAACUACGUG